This 864-nucleotide ribosomal RNA is filed under the name uncultured bacterium. Its description in RNAcentral is "bacterial SSU rRNA". It matches the Rfam family "Bacterial small subunit ribosomal RNA", at positions 38 to 884 of the family's 1533-position model. The record is from RNAcentral.
GGCGGCGUGCCUAAUACAUGCAAGUCGAGCGAACAGACAAGGAGCUUGCUUCUCUGACGUUAGCGGCGGACGGGUGAGUAACACGUGGGUAAGGCAGGUAUAAGACUGGAAUAACUUCGGGAAACCGGAGCUAAUACUGGAUAAUAUUUCGAACCGCAUGGUUGCUGGUGAAAGAUGGUUUUGCUAUCACUUAUAGAUGGACCCGCGCCGUAUUAGCUAGUUGGUAAGGUAACGGCCUACCAAGGCGACGAUACGUAGCCGACCUGAGAGGGUGAUCGGCCACACUGGAACUGAGACACGGUCCAGACUCCUACGGGAGGCAGCAGUAGGGAAUCUUCCGCAAUGGGCGAAAGCCUGACGGAGCAACGCCGCGUGAGUGAUGAAGGUCUUCGGAUUGUAAAACUCUGUUAUUAGGGAAGAACAUACGUGUAAGUAACUAUGCACGUCUUGACGGUACCUAAUCAGAAAGCCACGGCUAACUACGUGCCAGCAGCCGCGGUAAUACGUAGGUGGCAAGCGUUAUCCGGAAUUAUUGGGCGUAAAGCGCGCGUAGGCGGUUUUUUAAGUCUGAUGUGAAAGCCCACGGCUCAACCGUGGAGGGUCAUUGGAAACUGGAAAACUUGAGUGCAGAAGAGGAAAGUGGAACUCCAUGUGUAGCGGUGAAAUGCGUAGAGAUAUGGAGGAACACCAGUGGCGAAGGCGACUUUCUGGUCUGUAACUGACGCUGAUGUGCGAAAGCGUGGGGAUCAAACAGGAUUAGAUACCCUGGUAGUCCACGCCGUAAACGAUGAGUGCUAAGUGUUAGGGGGUUUCCGCCCCUUAGUGCUGCAGCUAACGCAUUAAGCACUCCGCCUGGGGAGUACG